RNAcentral lists this ribosomal RNA (468 nucleotides) under uncultured bacterium. RNAcentral's name for it is "partial 16S ribosomal RNA". It matches the Rfam family "Bacterial small subunit ribosomal RNA", at positions 28 to 507 of the family's 1533-position model. The record is from RNAcentral.
GAUGAACGCUGGCGGCGUGCUUAACACAUGCAAGUCGAACGGAAAGGCCAGUGCUUGCACUGGUACUCGAGUGGCGAACGGGUGAGUAACACGUGGGUGAUCUGCCCUGUACUUCGGGAUAAGCUUGGGAAACUGGGUCUAAUACCGGAUAGGACAACUUUUUGGAUAUUGUUGUGGAAAGCUUUUGCGGUAGGGGAUGAGCUCGCGGCCUAUCAGCUUGUUGGUGGGGGAAUGGCCUACCAAGGCGUCGACGGGUAGCCGGCCUGAGAGGGUGUACGGCCACACUGGGACUGAGAUACGGGCCAGACUCCUACGGGAGGCAGCAGUGGGGAAUAUUGCACAAUGGGCGCAAGCCUGAUGCAGCGAAGCCGCGGGGGGGAUGAAGGCCUUCGGGUUGUAAACUCCUUUCGCUAGGGACGAAGCUUUUUUGUGACGGUACCUGGAGAAGAAGCACCGGCUAACUACGUG